GAUGAACGCUGGCGGCGUGCCUAAUACAUGCAAGUCGAGCGAACAGACGAGGAGCUUGCUCCUCUGACGUUAGCGGCGGACGGGUGAGUAACACGUGGAUAACCUACCUAUAAGACUGGGAUAACUUCGGGAAACCGGAGCUAAUACCGGAUAAUAUAUUGAACCGCAUGGUUCAAUAGUGAAAGACGGUUUUGCUGUCACUUAUAGAUGGAUCCGCGCCGCAUUAGCUAGUUGGUAAGGUAACGGCUUACCAAGGCAACGAUGCGUAGCCGACCUGAGAGGGUGAUCGGCAACAAUGGAACUGAGACACGGUCCAGACUCCUACGGGAGGCAGCAGUAGGGAAUCUUCCGCAAUGGGCGAAAGCCUGACGGAGCAACGCCGCGUGAGUGAUGAAGGUCUGCGGAUCGUAAAACUCUGUUAUUAGGGAAGAACAAAUGUGUAAGUAACUAUGCACGUCUUGACGGUACCUAAUCAGAAAGCCACGGCUAACUACGUG
This 497-nucleotide ribosomal RNA is filed under the name uncultured bacterium. RNAcentral's name for it is "partial 16S ribosomal RNA". It matches the Rfam family "Bacterial small subunit ribosomal RNA", at positions 28 to 507 of the family's 1533-position model. The record is from RNAcentral.